This 131-nucleotide small nucleolar RNA is filed under the name Drosophila mojavensis. RNAcentral describes it as "snoRNA:GI25405". Lineage: Eukaryota; Metazoa; Arthropoda; Insecta; Diptera; Drosophilidae. The record is from RNAcentral.
GGGCAGAUCAGAUAUCGUGGUUUGGCACAAUCUGCCAUUGUACAGUAUCACCGAUUUGCCCAGAGUAAACGUAUUCUCAUAGUCCAUUUUGCUGGUACCCCACACAAUUUGGCUCUCCGAAUUCGACAAUA